AAAAGGGGCGGCCUUAGCAAUAGGGCUGUUGCACUGAGAUGAGCCUGCGUCUCAUUAGCUAGUUGGUGAGGUAAUGGCUCACCAAGGCGAUGAUGGGUAGCUGGUCUGAGAGGACGAUCAGCCACACUGGAACUGAAACACGGUCCAGACUCCUACGGGAGGCAGCAGUGGGGAAUCUUGCGCAAUGACGAAAGUCUGACGCAGCGACGCCGCGUGAGUGAAGAAGGCCUUCGGGUUGUAAAGCUCUGUCGAGUGGGAAAAAUGGCGACUAGAAUAAUACGCUAGUUGAUUGAUGGUACCACUAGAGGAAGCACCGGCUAACUCCGUGCCAGCAGCCGCGGUAA
RNAcentral lists this ribosomal RNA (344 nucleotides) under uncultured delta proteobacterium. Its description in RNAcentral is "bacterial SSU rRNA". It matches the Rfam family "Bacterial small subunit ribosomal RNA", at positions 172 to 523 of the family's 1533-position model. The record is from RNAcentral. Lineage: Bacteria; Deltaproteobacteria.